UUGAGUACGCACAAAGUGGGCGGAAUUCGUGGUGUAGCGGUGAAAUGCUUAGAUAUCACGAAGAACUCCGAUUGCGAAGGCAGCUCACUGGAGCGCAACUGACGCUGAAGCUCGAAAGUGCGGGUAUCGAACAGGAUUAGAUACCCUGGUAGUCCGCACGGUAAACGAUGGAUGCCCGCUGUUGGUCUGAACAGGUCAGCGGCCAAGCGAAAGCAUUAAGCAUCCCACCUGGGGAGUACGCCGGCAACGGUGAAACUCAAAGGAAUUGACGGGGGCCCGCACAAGCGGAGGAACAUGUGGUUUAAUUCGAUGAUACGCGAGGAACCUUACCCGGGCUUGAAUUGCAGAGGAAGGAUUUGGAGACAAUGACGCCCUUCGGGGCCUCUGUGAAGGUGCUGCAUGGUUGUCGUCAGCUCGUGCCGUGAGGUGUCGGCUUAAGUGCCAUAACGAGCGCAACCCCUCUCCUUAGUUGCCAUCAGGUUAAGCUGGGCACUCUGGGGACACUGCCACCGUAAGGUGUGAGGAAGGUGGGGAUGACGUCAAAUCAGCACGGCCCUUACGUCCGGGGCUACACACGUGUUACAAUGGCAGGUACAGAGAGACGGUUGUACGUAAGUACGAUCAAAUCCUUAAAGCCUGUCUCAGUUCGGACUGGGGUCUGCAACCCGACCCCACGAAGCUGGAUUCGCUAUGU
This 694-nucleotide ribosomal RNA is filed under the name uncultured bacterium. Its description in RNAcentral is "bacterial SSU rRNA". It matches the Rfam family "Bacterial small subunit ribosomal RNA", at positions 642 to 1340 of the family's 1533-position model. The record is from RNAcentral.